CGUGGACAAGAUCUCCCAGCUCCAGAGGACAUAUUUACAUCUCAAGGCAUCUCUUCCUGCAUUGGAUGCAUCUCAAAAUCCCAUAAGGGAAGAAGAUGCCGAGACAGAACGAGGAGUACAUAAGGUUUUGGGGGGAGUAACACCUGGGAGGAAAUGUGAGGAAGCAAGAAUGGUCAUGAGGGAGGUACCCGAUCAGGAUACGGAGCAAGAGCACCUGUUGGAUCCGAGUCCUCAUCAGGAGGAAAUGGCCAGGUCUUUGUUCCAUGGCCUUGCUCACUUACUGGCUAGUGCCACUCAGAACCGUGUGUGACUUCGGCUCAACAGUUGCUCACAGAGGAGGCUGUGAGCUAGCUACCCUCUCCAUCGCUGGGCAGGGAGUCCCAUCUUACAGGGGUAGCUGGGUAGCGUAUCUGUAUCUGCCACACCCCACCUUCCCCCUGACUCUGUGAGGCGAUUUUACCCUUCGUGGUUCUUCAUGAAGACAACAGAACUCUAUAAAUGACAGUGUGUGAAUUGCCCUUGGGAAAUAGGCCAUCUCUCAACCAGCAAAAUUAGAAAGAAAGUUAUAACCAUACGUCAGUAUAGUUGAAUCAGCUAAAAGGUGAGGUGCCCCUAGGAUAUGGGACUGCGUUUCAUUUAAACAGAAUCUCCUUCUGCAGAGGGAGCGCCUUGCGAAUCUGAAAUAAGAUCAGAGAAGUGCUUGCUGCCGCAGUCUGGCCAUCCUCUGCCGAUGAACGUGAACCCUCGUGAAUAGAUCUGAGGAUCAACAGCCAUCAAUAACCACAACUCCUCUCAUCUCCUUGGAGACCACAGACCAUACAGGUACCUCUCUGUUUUGUUUUCUAAAGGCCACGACUUAACUGUGCCAUGGAGAAUUGAGGGUUAAGUCACCUCUUCUGUGUUGUGUGAUCCUGAGUCCUUGAGCAUAAGAAAGAGAAAUCAAGUCUGGAUUAACUGAAACAGGAAUGAUAUUUGUUGGCAGGGUUUAGUGGCGUUCACAGAAUAGACAGGAAGGCGGGAGAGGGAGACUUGGGAAAAAGCAGAAACUAGAGCAGGUCUGAGGAUCCAGGGAACAGUAAGCACCAUCGAGAUCAUGUCUUAGGAAGAACUCGUUCAAGACAUGUUGUGGCUACUACCGGUGGUCUAGCUGACCUCCUUCUGCUGUUACCACCAUUUCUGCUGAUUAAAGUCUUUCUUUGUGUCCCUCCAUCCUGCGCCAUGAUCAAGAGACUCCGUGUCCUGCAAAGGAGCAUCUGAUUGGAUAAGCGGAGGUUACAGCCCACGCUGCCAGAACUCAGAAGUUCCCUCUUCAGGCUUCUAUAGGAGGAGGCUCUUCCCCAGUCCAGAGGACAUGGGCCUUCUGCUGAAGAUAAGCUCACAACAUCAAAGGAGAGAAAAUGAUAAACUAUGAGGAAAUUCCCUCAGUGGAUAUUUUGCCUUAGAGCAAAAAUGGUAUCUCAGCGUUGGGCUUGCCCCUACAUUCAUUCAUGUUGGUACUUUUUAUUUAAGUUUUUAUAGUAGCUAGGUUCCCCUUUGCCUAAAAACCCAAGGGAAAAAACCCAAUUCUUUAAUUUACUCACAUCCUGCUAGGCUUUCUCAGGCUAUUCAUUUUCUUACCCCGCUUCAUCUUCAGCUGCAAGGAAGCUGGAGUUUGGAGGAAAGGGGGAGGCAGGUCAACCGGAGGUUGUCCUGACCUCAGAGGGAGAGCCCCCCUGUCGUCAACACCAGGGCUACCCUAGGCUAUUGCAACAUGUCUGCAGGCUCAAUUCUAGAAGAAAAUACCAUUUACUUCCCAACGUGCUGGGGCUCAGUGGGGCAUAAAGAAUAAAUGAAGUAAAUUAACUGA
Herpailurus yagouaroundi (jaguarundi) is the source of this 1846-nucleotide long non-coding RNA. RefSeq lists it as uncharacterized. The record is from RefSeq and is a predicted model, not a curated record. NCBI's taxonomy places the organism in Eukaryota, Metazoa, Chordata, Mammalia, Carnivora, Felidae. The transcript is spliced from 5 exons.